GUUAUUUUAAAAAAAAAAUCUUUUCGGGGAUUAAGAUCCAACACAAAAACAUUAAAAAAGAAAAAAAAUAUGAUUUUUAAAAUAGAUGGAAAAAAACAAGGGGGUAAGAGUUGCAAUUAAAUUUAUAUUUUUUUAUAUUUGAUAAUUACUUCGAAAAUUAUUUUUAAAAAAAUAAACAUGAAUGUGUCCCAAAAAAAUAUUUAACAAUGACUCAUACAUGUAAAAGACCUUAUUUGAACAUGAUUUUUUUCAUUCCAAG
RNAcentral lists this long non-coding RNA (259 nucleotides) under Lathyrus oleraceus (garden pea). RNAcentral describes it as "Pisum sativum (pea) long non-coding RNA (PSAT_LNC033423)". The record is from RNAcentral. Lineage: Eukaryota; Viridiplantae; Streptophyta; Magnoliopsida; Fabales; Fabaceae.